UACGUAGGGUGCAAGCGUUAAUCGGAAUUACUGGGCGUAAAGCGUGCGCAGGCGGUUUUGUAAGUCUGUCGUGAAAGCCCCGGGCUCAACCUGGGAAUGGCGAUGGAGACUGCAAGGCUAGAGUGUGUCAGAGGGGGGGUAGAAUUCCACGUGUAGCAGUGAAAUGCGUAGAGAUGUGGAGGAACACCGAUGGCGAAGGCAGCCCCCCUGGGUUAACACUGACGCUCAGGCACGAAAGCGUGGG
Molecule: ribosomal RNA, 244 nt
Filed under: uncultured bacterium
Lineage: Bacteria
Description: partial 16S ribosomal RNA
Rfam family: Bacterial small subunit ribosomal RNA
Source: RNAcentral